RNAcentral lists this long non-coding RNA (6426 nucleotides) under Nicotiana benthamiana. Its description in RNAcentral is "long non-coding RNA (NBEN_LNC018194)". Lineage: Eukaryota; Viridiplantae; Streptophyta; Magnoliopsida; Solanales; Solanaceae. The record is from RNAcentral.
GUUUUGAGAUUUGGAUUUAGGUCGCAUGAAAUGCACACCCGAAUUUAGGGAAGAUAACAUUAUUAGAUACGCGCCUAAAGAUGCUAACGCGUUAUUAUUUUUGAGAAGGCCGAGAAAUUCGCUAAACGGCCCUUCCCGAAAUCUAAGGAAUCAAUAUAUACAUUUAUAAGGGCCCCACAGUUUAGUGCUUUUUAUUAAGCGAGGCUUAUUUUUAAAAGGGUAAUCCUAAAGUGAGUCCACUUUUUCUAUUAUGUUCGUCUCUAGAUAUGAAAGAAGCAAAAAUCCUAGAUUAUUUACAUGCUAGGCAAGUCCGGCCUCUUAUUAAUUAUUAGACUUACACUAGAUGCUAACAAAACUUGCGCUUGAACUCGUAAAAAUGGAAAAUUAUUUUCACGCCUAUUCUACAUGCACUCCAUAACUUGUAACAAGUAAGAACAAGGUACAUCUACUCAAAUUAGAGGACACGUAUCAUUUUUUAUUCCAAUUUCAAACUUAAGUUAUGCCUAACUAAUGUAUUACUACAACUAGAUGAGGUUUGACCGUGCAGAACGGGCCCAACAUUUAGAAUUCAAAUUACAUUUAAUCCAUACAUACUUUAAAUAACUACAAUUCCACAAGUACAGAAACAAAGUUUCAUUCUUGGUAAAAGUGAUAACAUAGUAGACUGCCAAUUACUCACAUUAUAUAUAUUCAGAAUUUGUUCGGGAAAAUGAAAUUUUGCGUCCUUAUGAGACCAGACAAAUAGGUAACUCAACCCCGUCAUACAACUUUGUCCAUAUUUUAUGAUUCUUUGUGCUUUAUUUCAAUAAGUGUAUUUACUUCCUUGAAAAAGUUGUGUGAGAAUAUCAUAACUUCAGGAAAUCUAAAAGCACCCGAAGUUUCCUGCAAAAGUAAUUAACUGUAUUAAAAGCAACUCAGAAGCGAAGCUGGAGGUUUUAUCAACCAUUUAAUUUGUAAUUUUUUACAUGGAAGAAGUCCAAUAAAGAAGCAAUGUAGAAAUCUUAUAAAGAAUUGUUAAGUGAAGAGCAAUAAGAAAGAAUGAAAAAAAUAUAUAUGCUGAUUCAGUAUUUAGCUAUUUAAAAUUCUAUUCAAUAAUAUCAAUAGAUAAUAACAACAUUGUGUUUCUACAAUGAACUUGCAGUCCAAUCAUAUGUUAAAUGAUUAAUAAUAUAGGAACAAUCAGAUUCUAAAGAGCUAUUCUAUAAAAACUAAAUUAAAUUCAAAUGGAGAAAUAUAAAAAUAACCUGUUUAAGUCGUCCACAAUAACCAGAUAGGUGCCUCAAUUUAUCGUAUUAUCAAUUAGACACUUCCUUUCAAUUGAAGUAUGACCUCAUGAACCUUCACGCUGACAUAGAAAAGAGUGCUUUAUAUUCACAUUUGAGCAUGUAACACCCUCAAAAUUAUGUUUUUUCCUUUAAAAAGAAAAUUAACCUUACAUUAUAUGGAUCAACCAUAACUUUUAUGUGGGUCCCUCUAUAUUUAUAGUUUUUCCCACAUUAAUUCCCCUUUCUUUCCAAAAUAAUUCAUUUCCACCUCCAAACUUUCCUGACCUAAACAUGGCAACGUUUGUAGCUUAUUCACCUUUCGACUUGAAUCCACCUCCUCUUAUUCAAUAUUAAAAUAAAAAAAAUCAGUAAUAGCCACCAAGCCACAAUAAUAUCAAUUGGCCACCCUAAAAUUUUGGUCUCAUUUCCAGCAGUUCUCCAAUUCCCUUUUGAGUUUAAAAAUUAAGUUGUCUUUUAGCAAUUGGUAGCGAAAGCUCCACUUAUUCUGCAUUCCAUCAGCGGGAGUUUAGUAAUAAAUGAAGCACAAUAAUAAAGAAGCAGUAGUACAACUAUGUGAAUACUUGCCAAAUAAUUGUGUAAUUAAGUUGUCUUUUGGACUAAGAAAUUGUGAAUUUUGUUAUAUAUGGUAGGUGGAGUUUGGAAGAAAGAAAAAGAUGCGAGAUGAACAAGAGCGGAGGGGUCAUCUCUCAUCAGAGAAAAAGAUUGGAGGUGAGUGUAACUCACACAUAUGAACUACCAAACUCGGGUGUUCACGAGGUACACUUGAUAACCACUUUAAGUGUCAAAAUAAAUGAGCAGUUUAUAUUUUGCCAAGUCAAAACAAAACAAAAAUUAUUAGUGGAACCCAUACAAGAAUCUAGGCAAAAAUAUGUUACUCCCUCUAUCACUUGGAAUGAAAGGGAAUGAUACAUUACCCCAUGCGAAGUAGAGAGUUGUAAAUAUAGUUCAAAGAACUAUUCUCUCCAAAUUUAACAAUGCACAAUUUUAUUUGGUGCAGAUAGAGGAAGAACUUUAAAAUUGACGACAGAAAUUAAAAUCAAUAUUAUUUUUGUAAUAAUCUCUGAAAUAAGUUGGAGGGGAUAUCAAUACAAAGUUAACAAUAUUCUAAUUCUUAAUCUAUUUUUUAGUAGCUUUUAGAACUUGUUAGAAUUGGAAAUAUCAAAUGAGGCAAAUCAAUAGAACUAUUACAUUUGAAAGGGUUUGAAUUUUCGGCAAAUAGAGCUCUAUGACCUAAUAGUAUAGGCAUCACAUUAUUAGCAUAAGGAAAUUGUUCCAUAUCAAGAAUUACUCAUUUUCAAUGAAUGAAGGUUAGUUGAUUCCCUAUUUUUGUAGCACGAAAAACGCUUAUUUUCAAUAAGAUUAUUCGAUAUCAAUCACAUAAUCUUACUGAAAAGAAAUGGAGAAGAAACGCACAAUAUGUUUGUGGAGCAUGUCUUCCUAUCAAGGGAGAAUUCAUAUUAUUCGGCAAAUAACGUUGUAUUAAGUUUAACAUAUUUAUAUAAAUUAGUUAACUAAUUGUACUCCUUUAAAAGUUAAAUUCACAAUAAAAAAAAUACUCUGCUUACUUCUAAAGUGUGUACUUCUAAAUGCAUUUGGAGAAACAUUAAGAAAGCGGUAGGAGGAUGGUAAUCUUCACUAUAAAGAUGAUCGGCCAGAUUUUAGUAAAGAAGUUUUUUUAUCAGAAUUCAGUAAACGGAAAAUGGGAUCAAAAUUCAAUAAGCUUCUGGAUAUCAUCGAGAACAAAAAGAACAAAGGGAACAAUGCACAAACAUCCCCAAAUAAACAGACAAUGAAAUUUAUAAAGGCAAAGAAAAAAAGAAAAUUUGCAUGAAUAUAAGAUUCCAUCUGUGCACAUUCAACCGUGUAAUUUUAUCCCUAAAAAUUAUCAAAUUAGUGCACCAUGGAAAAUAUAUGAUUAUUUCAAGAAAAUUAAAGUAAAACAACUCCAAAUAUCUCCAUAAAGCACUAACAACAAAGACAAUCAGAUGCAUGUACACUAAAAUUAAGAAUACUUUAAAAAUAUUAUUACCUUUGAACAUAUCGCAAAGCUUGUCCCCAGAGAUUCAACCUUUAAAGAGCAGAAAAUAUAUAGAAGAAGACCACUAUUGUUAUCAGCGAAGAACUCCAAGAUCUACCCUAAUCUCUUCAAACUGACGCAUAACUCUCAAACUACGAAAAUCAAAUAAGAUCGGAAAAUAUAAUAAGAGAAAAAUAGUAAGAUUUGGAAAAAAUUAAAAAAGGAGUAGACCUGAAAGUAGCAAUACCCAGUUGAGAAAAUGGAGAGAACUAGAAAAAAAAUUGUUUGAGAAGUAUGGGGAGAAAUUGAACAAGUAUAACGAAAAAAGAAGGUAAAACAAUCAAUCUUAAUCUUUUGACAAACUGGAAAAAGAUUUGGAAAAAAAUUGAAAGAAAAGUAUACCUCAAAUUGGAAUAGGAGAUGGAAUUGGGAGAUGAAAGAGAUAUCUUCUAGAAUUGUGUAGUGUUAGCAUUGGAAAAAGCCAUCUCGGCAAAGCACUUUUAUGAUUGAGCUAAAUGACAACUAUACCAUUGGUCGACCGUCAUGGCUUUUCUAUAUAAUAGAAAUAUUGAGAAGGACAUGCUUAGACUGGAAUGAUUAACGACUAAAUCGAGCUAUCAAACAUACUUCACCAAUUUAAAUGCCUAUUCCUUGAUCCUAAGCCCGAAUCAUUGGGGUUAAAACAUAAAGUGUUGAAUUUACUAAGUCAAUUAUUAGGCCCGAUUUUGACAUUACCAUGAUUUAUAUUCUGAUUUCAUAACCCAUUUCGAACUAUAAUGAAUAAUUAGCACAUGAAUUCAAGUUACAUUACACUAAAACCACUAUUCAGAUUGAAUAAAUUCUAAUUCAAAUUUUAUAAUCCAAUAUUGUUUAAAGUCCACAUUAUACAAUCCAAUUUCGAGCCUAAUUGUACAAUAUAAACGCAUACUUAAAGUAAGCCUAAGCAAAUGCAAAUCUCCUAGUAUCUAUUCUAGUAUAACAACUUGCACGCACAUACUUCAAGAGGUAAAUAUGUGAGACUUUUAUUUUAGUAUUUCAUUUCAACAGCUACAUCAAAUCAAUAUCUAGAAUGUGUACCUGAUUUUUGAAAAUAUAAGAAGAGGAAGAAGAGGAUCAGCAACAAUAGCGACAGCAAUAUGACAACGCAGUUCCAGUAACAACAACAGUAAACCAGUAUCAAACAGUAGCAAGAAUCCCAUGAAAGAUUUGAAACCAAGCAAGAACAAACAAGGAACUUUCAAAACCCAACAGAAACUCAAGAAAUACCACACUGAAAGACUCGGCAGUACCCGAAAUGCACUCAUAGUUGAAGCAAAAGUGAGACAGACACAAGAAAGCAGUAUUUCAUAUUGUGAAUACUCGAAGAAACAAGUUGAAACUUUUUGACACAAUGGCAAGCUAACACUGAGUUUUAACCAUAAGAGAAGCCUAACUUUCAGUUUCUAAACUCUCAAAGACUAACUUCUGCCCUUUAAGUUCUGAAAUUUUUUGAUCUUCUAAAAAUCCUCUCAAAAAUUUUCUCAACAUAUUGUUCUCCUUCUUCUAAGUAUCAAAUGACUUUUAUUUAUAUCUAAAAUCAUACUCUCUUCCCCUCCCUUUUAAUUAUUAUUACUACCCUCUUUUUAUUAUUACCCUUCCAAUUACCCUCCCUUUCCUUUAAUUUUCAGCCCCCCAAAUAUUUUCUUAUAUGUCUCGUUUUUUAACCUUUUAUCAUUACUUAUACUAUUCCUAAUUCCAAUUAAGCAAACACUCUCAUCACUUAAGGGUCCUCCUCUACCAAUUAGUUCAAAUAGAAGUUAUUAGGGGUCUUACUGGGUAGACUAUUCAGUCAAACCAGAUUUUUUUAUUCUUCUAUUCCUAAAACACCCCUGAAAUCCCCUAACUAUUACUGUAUUGCCCUAAACUGAAGUUACAUCUGUGUAAAUUUAAACCUGAAACUAAUUUUGGUUAACACCUAAAUUACUACAGCUAUAUCUAAUCUUUCUGCCAAUUGAAUGACUAAGUUAAAUUAAUUGAAACAAAUGAACUGAAUUUAAAUCAAAACCAACAAAAAAAAAUUAAUUGAAACAAAUGAACUGAUUUAAAUCAAAACCAACACAAAACUCAACAGAAGCAUUGAAACUGAAGCUGAAACUGAAUCAAAAUCAACAUGGAUGCAGGGAUUAAACUAACACGAUUCUAAUUCGAAUCUAUACAAGAAUGCACAAUCAUUGUUAGUAUAUUGACAAUACCCUGAAGAUAAGUGCCCAAAAAUCAAUACAUACAACAUCGGACCCCAAACUAUUUGACGACAUUGAUGCAAUCGACUACACAAAUUAUAUCACAUAAUAAUUAACAACAGAGAAACAGAACAGAAAUAAACUAACAAGUGAUUCGAAUUGUUUUUGACAAAAAACAGGGAACUUAAGGAAGCUAAUUAAUCGAUGAAUCUACUUAAACGAUUGCAUAUAACAACUGACAACAAGCAACCAGAAACAGACAAUCAGGCAAUUCAAGUAGCAUUUAACAAAACGGGAAGUUAUAAUACAAUUUAACUAAUUGACAAAAUUGGUUGAAUCGAUUAAAGAACCUAUACUAUAUACUCAACAAAUGAGCAGAAACAAAUUUGACGAAAUAAACGGUCAGAUGGAGGAGAAAUAGAACAGUUGAAAAAAAUAAUAAAAAACAUUAAUACAACAAAACUAAACAACAACAAAAAUAGAAACAAAAGAAAAAGGAAAAAUACCUCAGAGAGAUUAGAAAUCACACGGACUUGGACUUGAAAAUUGUUGAGAUCAAACAGACCUUAAUCGAGUGUUUUCAAUUAAAAACACUUCCACUAAGGUCCCUUGAACACCCAAAGCCUUCAAUUUGGACAUAAAUGCGGCUUGAGUUUUUCUAGGGUUCUUGGGCUCGGAUUUGGGGCUUGAAUGUUUCUGGGAAGAUUCGAACGGAACCAAUGUUGUUUAGGGUAUGAAGGAGGUUAGGGGUGUGUCUGGUGUGAGUUUGGCAUGGAUUGGGGUAGGUCUGAGUUCUACUCGAAUUUUCAAAUGAAGAUUCGACAAGUUCCAGGUUGAUUCGAGCUAAACGGUUCAUGGAUUUGGAUUGGGGGUGGUUAGAUGGUCUAAGGGUGUUAAUUUGGUG